RNAcentral lists this ribosomal RNA (468 nucleotides) under uncultured bacterium. Its description in RNAcentral is "partial 16S ribosomal RNA". It matches the Rfam family "Bacterial small subunit ribosomal RNA", at positions 28 to 507 of the family's 1533-position model. The record is from RNAcentral.
GACGAACGCUGGCGGCGUGCUUAACACAUGCAAGUCGAACGGAAAGGCCCUGCUUUUGUGGGGUGCUCGAGUGGCGAACGGGUGAGUAACACGUGAGUAACCUGCCCUUGACUUUGGGAUAACUUCAGGAAACUGGGGCUAAUACCGGAUAGGAGCUCCUGCUGCAUGGUGGGGGUUGGAAAGUUUCGGCGGUUGGGGAUGGACUCGCGGCUUAUCAGCUUGUUGGUGGGGUAGUGGCUUACCAAGGCUUUGACGGGUAGCCGGCCUGAGAGGGUGACCGGCCACAUUGGGACUGAGAGACGGCCCAGACGCCUACGGGAGGCAGCAGUGGGGAAUAUUGCACAAUGGGCGGAAGCCUGAUGCAGCAACGCCGCGUGCGGAAUGACGGCCUUCGGGUUGUAAACCGCUUUCGCCUGUGACGAAGCGUGAGUGACGGUAAUUGGUAAAGAAGCACCGGCUAACUACGUG